This 256-nucleotide long non-coding RNA is filed under the name Capsicum annuum. RNAcentral's name for it is "long non-coding RNA (CANN_LNC013694)". Lineage: Eukaryota; Viridiplantae; Streptophyta; Magnoliopsida; Solanales; Solanaceae. The record is from RNAcentral.
CUAGCCUUACACCUUUAAUCACUUAACUUACAACUCAACAUCAUUUAUAAAACUAUUCCAAAGGUGCAUAUUGUCUACCCAUAUUUCCUUAAUUCAACACUAAAUAAUUCUAUACAACAACUCCCAGACUUGUCCAUACUAGAAGAUUCAAGAAUGAAAUCUAGGAAUACACGACACUCAUACACAUCAUACCUUAUCUAACAACAUGCUACCUCGGGGUUCAACAUAUUCUUAUAUACUCACGCUUUUAUCCACU